AGCUUUGCACAGUGGCAGUAUCGUAGCCAAUGAGGUGUAUCUGAGGCACGAAUAUUGCUAAUUGAAAUUACCCCAUGCAUAUAGUCAGACCAUACUGCAAUAAAAUUGCAAAUCAAU
Heterocephalus glaber (naked mole-rat) is the source of this 117-nucleotide small nuclear RNA. Its record names the gene U4. It matches the Rfam family "U4 spliceosomal RNA". From Rfam's summary of the family: U4 small nuclear RNA (U4 snRNA) is a component of the major U2-dependent spliceosome. The structure of U4 snRNA from yeast and human has been reported. U4 snRNA presents a k-turn RNA motif in the 5p-SL related to recognition of Snu13 protein. The record is from Ensembl. Lineage: Eukaryota; Metazoa; Chordata; Mammalia; Rodentia; Bathyergidae.